CAAUAGCUCAUAUUAAAGUUGUUGCAGUUAAAAAGCUCGUAGUUGCAAUGAUGGCCUCGGGACUUCGGGUUGCUCAUUGCGACCGGAUUUUCCGUGGUCGGCCUUGGCUCGUUCAGGGCUCUGAUACUUUGAGAAAAAUUGAGUGUUCCAGGCGGACUUGUGUUGGAAUAGUGUACCAUGGAAUAUCGGAAAUGGAGGGUCAUUCCAUUUCUUUGGUUUGAGAAUGACACUCUCAGAUUAACAGGAACGGUCGGGGCAUUCGGAUUGAACAGUCAGAGGUGAAAUUCUUAGAUUUGUUUAAGACGAACAAAUGCGAAAGCAUCUGCCUAGGACGUUUCCAUUAA
This 344-nucleotide ribosomal RNA is filed under the name uncultured eukaryote. Its description in RNAcentral is "partial 18S ribosomal RNA". It matches the Rfam family "Eukaryotic small subunit ribosomal RNA", at positions 592 to 976 of the family's 1831-position model. The record is from RNAcentral.